UACGUAGGGGGCAAGCGUUGUCCGGAAUCAUUGGGCGUAAAGUGUGCGCAGGCGGCAGAGCAAGUCGAGUGUGAAAGCCCCGGGCUUAACUUGGAGGGGUCGUCGAAGACUGGCGAACUAGGGUCUGGCAGAGGCAGGUAGAAUUCCCGGUGGAGCGGUGAAAUGCGCAGAUAUCGGGAGGAACACCAGUAGCGAAGGCGGCACUCUGGGCCGGUACUGACGCUGAGGAGCGAAAGCGUGGGGAGCAAACAGG
This 253-nucleotide ribosomal RNA is filed under the name uncultured bacterium. Its description in RNAcentral is "partial 16S ribosomal RNA". It matches the Rfam family "Bacterial small subunit ribosomal RNA", at positions 524 to 776 of the family's 1533-position model. The record is from RNAcentral.